RNAcentral lists this ribosomal RNA (646 nucleotides) under bacterium 4753K4-B21. RNAcentral's name for it is "bacterial SSU rRNA". It matches the Rfam family "Bacterial small subunit ribosomal RNA", at positions 45 to 685 of the family's 1533-position model. The record is from RNAcentral.
GGCCUAACACAUGCAAGUCGAGCGGUAACAGAAAGUAGCUUGCUACUUUGCUGACGAGCGGCGGACGGGUGAGUAAUGCUUGGGAACAUGCCUUGAGGUGGGGGACAACAGUUGGAAACGACUGCUAAUACCGCAUAAUGUCUACGGACCAAAGGGGGCUUCGGCUCUCGCCUUUAGAUUGGCCCAAGUGGGAUUAGCUAGUUGGUGAGGUAAUGGCUCACCAAGGCGACGAUCCCUAGCUGGUUUGAGAGGAUGAUCAGCCACACUGGGACUGAGACACGGCCCAGACUCCUACGGGAGGCAGCAGUGGGGAAUAUUGCACAAUGGGCGCAAGCCUGAUGCAGCCAUGCCGCGUGUGUGAAGAAGGCCUUCGGGUUGUAAAGCACUUUCAGUCAGGAGGAAAGGUUAGUAGUUAAUACCUGCUAGCUGUGACGUUACUGACAGAAGAAGCACCGGCUAACUCCGUGCCAGCAGCCGCGGUAAUACGGAGGGUGCGAGCGUUAAUCGGAAUUACUGGGCGUAAAGCGUACGCAGGCGGUUUGUUAAGCGAGAUGUGAAAGCCCCGGGCUCAACCUGGGAACUGCAUUUCGAACUGGCAAACUAGAGUGUGAUAGAGGGGUGGUAGAAUUUCAGGUGUAACGGUGAA